UAAGCAUAUCAAUAAGCGGAGGAAAAGAAACCAACAGGGAUUGCCCCAGUAACGGCGAGUGAAGCGGCAACAGCUCAAAUUUGAAAUCUGGCUUCGGCCCGAGUUGUAAUUUGCAGAGGAAGCUUUAGGCGCGGCACCAUCUGAGUCCCCUGGAACGGGGCGCCACAGAGGGUGAGAGCCCCGUAUAGAUGGACGCCUAGCCUGUGUAAAGCUCCUUCGACGAGUCGAGUAGUUUGGGAAUGCUGCUCUAAAUGGGAGGUAAAUUUCUUCUAAAGCUAAAUACCGGCCAGAGACCGAUAGCGCACAAGUAGAGUGAUCGAAAGAUGAAAAGCACUUUGAAAAGAGGGUUAAAUAGCACGUGAAAUUGUUGAAAGGGAAGCGCUUGUGACCAGACUUGCGCCGGGCGGAUCAUCCGGUGUUCUCACCGGUGCACUCCGCCCGGCUCAGGCCAGCAUCGGUUCUCGUGGGGGGACAAAGGUCCCGGGAACGUAGCUCCUCCGGGAGUGUUAUAGCCCGGGGCGUAAUGCCCUCGCGGGGACCGAGGACCGCGCUUCGGCAAGGAUGCUGGCGUAAUGGUCAUCAGCGACCCGUCUUGAAACACGGACCAAGGAGUCAAGGUUUUGCGCGAGUGUUUGGGUGUAAAACCCGCACGCGUAAUGAAAGUGAACGUAGGUGAGAGCUUCGGCGCAUCAUCGACCGAUCCUGAUGUUUUCGGAUGGAUUUGAGUAGGAGCGUUAAGCCUUGGACCCGAAAGAUGGUGAACUAUGCUUGGAUAGGGUGAAGCCAGAGGAAACUCUGGUGGAGGCUCGCAGCGGUUCUGACGUGCAAAUCGAUCGUCAAAUCUGAGCAUGGGGGCGAAAGACUAAUCGAACCAUCUAGUAGCUGGUUACCGCCGAA
Molecule: ribosomal RNA, 897 nt
Filed under: Botryotrichum murorum
Lineage: Eukaryota; Fungi; Ascomycota; Sordariomycetes; Sordariales; Chaetomiaceae
Description: LSU rRNA
Rfam family: Eukaryotic large subunit ribosomal RNA
Source: RNAcentral